GGGCUUGUGGUCUAGUGGCUUAAACUUUUUCAGAAAAAGUUUGAUCAAAAAGACUCUCUGGAAAUGGUUCCAUAAAUGACAUCUCGUUGACGUCGAGAGGAUCCCCGGUUCGAAUCCGGGCAGGCCCA
RNAcentral lists this transfer RNA (128 nucleotides) under Candidatus Woesearchaeota archaeon. Its description in RNAcentral is "tRNA-Val". Lineage: Archaea; Nanobdellati; Candidatus Woesearchaeota. The record is from RNAcentral.